UACGGAGGAUGCGAGCGUUGUCCGGAUUUACUGGGCGUAAAGGGAGCGUAGGCGGACUUUUAAGUGAGAUGUGAAAUACUCGGGCUCAACUUGAGUGCUGCAUUUCAAACUGGAAGUCUAGAGUGCAGGAGAGGAGAAUGGAAUUCCUAGUGUAGCGGUGAAAUGCGUAGAGAUUAGGUAGAACACCAGUGGCGAAGGCGAUUCUCUGGACUGUAACUGACGCUGAGGCUCGAAAGCGUGGGGAGCAAACAGG
RNAcentral lists this ribosomal RNA (253 nucleotides) under uncultured bacterium. RNAcentral describes it as "partial 16S ribosomal RNA". It matches the Rfam family "Bacterial small subunit ribosomal RNA", at positions 524 to 776 of the family's 1533-position model. The record is from RNAcentral.